UUAAAUUGAAGAGUUUGAUCAUGGCUCAGAUUGAACGCUGGCGGCAGGCCUAACACAUGCAAGUCGAACGGUAACAGGAAACAGCUUGCUGAUUUGCUGACGAGUGGCGGACGGGUGAGUAAUGUCUGGGAAACUGCCUGAUGGAGGGGGAUAACUACUGGAAACGGUAGCUAAUACCGCAUAAUGUCGCAAGACCAAAGAGGGGGACCUUCGGGCCUCUUGCCAUCGGAUGUGCCCAGAUGGGAUUAGCUAGUAGGUGGGGUAACGGCUCACCUAGGCGACGAUCCCUAGCUGGUCUGAGAGGAUGACCAGCCACACUGGAACUGAGACACGGUCCAGACUCCUACGGGAGGCAGCAGUGGGGAAUAUUGCACAAUGGGCGCAAGCCUGAUGCAGCCAUGCCGCGUGUAUGAAGAAGGCCUUCGGGUUGUAAAGUACUUUCAGCGGGGAGGAAGGGAGUAAAGUUAAUACCUUUGCUCAUUGACGUUACCCGCAGAAGAAGCACCGGCUAACUCCGUGCCAGCAGCCGCGGUAAUACGGAGGGUGCAAGCGUUAAUCGGAAUUACUGG
Molecule: ribosomal RNA, 569 nt
Filed under: Escherichia coli
Lineage: Bacteria; Pseudomonadati; Pseudomonadota; Gammaproteobacteria; Enterobacterales; Enterobacteriaceae
Description: bacterial SSU rRNA
Rfam family: Bacterial small subunit ribosomal RNA
Source: RNAcentral